UUGAACCGCAUGGUUCAAGGAUGAAAGACGGUUUCGGCUGUCACUUACAGAUGGACCCGCGGCGCAUUAGCUAGUUGGUGAGGUAACGGCUCACCAAGGCGACGAUGCGUAGCCGACCUGAGAGGGUGAUCGGCCACACUGGGACUGAGACACGGCCCAGACUCCUACGGGAGGCAGCAGUAGGGAAUCUUCCGCAAUGGACGAAAGUCUGACGGAGCAACGCCGCGUGAGUGAUGAAGGUUUUCGGAUCGUAAAGCUCUGUUGUUAGGGAAGAACAAGUGCAAGAGUAACUGCUUGCACCUUGACGGUACCUAACCAGAAAGCCACGGCUAACUACGUGCCAGCAGCCGCGGUAAUACGUAGGUGGCAAGCGUUGUCCGGAAUUAUUGGGCGUAAAGGGCUCGCAGGCGGUUUCUUAAGUCUGAUGUGAAAGCCCCCGGCUCAACCGGGGAGGGUCAUUGGAAACUGGGAAACUUGAGUGCAGAAGAGGAGAGUGGAAUUCCACGUGUAGCGGUGAAAUGCGUAGAGAUGUGGAGGAACACCAGUGGCGAAGGCGACUCUCUGGUCUGUAACUGACGCUGAGGAGCGA
Molecule: ribosomal RNA, 589 nt
Filed under: Bacillus sp. (in: firmicutes)
Lineage: Bacteria; Bacillati; Bacillota; Bacilli; Caryophanales; Bacillaceae
Description: bacterial SSU rRNA
Rfam family: Bacterial small subunit ribosomal RNA
Source: RNAcentral